UGCGUUUUUCGCCCAGGCGGAGCUCGACCGCCGCUUCAAGUCGUGAGGGCGUUUAUCGACCAGUACCGCCAUGCCUACGGCGUCGAGCCGAUCUGCAAGGUGAUGCAGGUCGCGCCG
Non-coding RNA from Massilia sp. JS1662, 117 nucleotides. Lineage: Bacteria; Pseudomonadati; Pseudomonadota; Betaproteobacteria; Burkholderiales; Oxalobacteraceae. The record is from Rfam.